Molecule: ribosomal RNA, 1235 nt
Filed under: Haloterrigena sp. WN77
Lineage: Archaea; Methanobacteriati; Methanobacteriota; Halobacteria; Halobacteriales; Natrialbaceae
Description: bacterial SSU rRNA
Rfam family: Archaeal small subunit ribosomal RNA
Source: RNAcentral
AACUGGCUCGAGUGCGAAACGCUCCGGCGCCAUAGGAUGUGGCUGCGGCCGAUUAGGUAGACGGUGGGGUAACGGCCCACCGUGCCGAUAAUCGGUACGGGUUGUGAGAGCAAGAGCCCGGAGACGGUAUCUGAGACAAGAUACCGGGCCCUACGGGGCGCAGCAGGCGCGAAACCUUUACACUGCACGCCAGUGCGAUAAGGGGACUCCAAGUGCGAGGGCAUAUAGUCCUCGCUUUUCACGACCGUAAGGUGGUCGUAGAAUAAGUGCUGGGCAAGACCGGUGCCAGCCGCCGCGGUAAUACCGGCAGCACGAGUGAUGACCGCUAUUAUUGGGCCUAAAGCGUCCGUAGCUGGCCUCGCAAGUCCAUCGGGAAAUCUGUCCGCUUAACGGACAGGCGUCCGGUGGAAACUGCGUGGCUUGGACCGGAAGAUCCAGAGGGUACGUCUGGGGUAGGAGUGAAAUCCCGUAAUCCUGGACGGACCGCCGGUGGCGAAAGCGCUCUGGAAAGACGGAUCCGACGGUGAGGGACGAAAGCUCGGGUCACGAACCGGAUUAGAUACCCGGGUAGUCCGAGCUGUAAACGAUGUCUGCUAGGUGUGACACAGGCUACGAGCCUGUGUUGUGCCGUAGGGAAGCCGUGAAGCAGACCGCCUGGGAAGUACGUCCGCAAGGAUGAAACUUAAAGGAAUUGGCGGGGGAGCACUACAACCGGAGGAGCCUGCGGUUUAAUUGGACUCAACGCCGGACAUCUCACCAGCAUCGACAACGUGCCGUGAAGGUCAGUGUGAUGAGCUUACUGGAGCCGUUGAGAGGAGGUGCAUGGCCGCCGUCAGCUCGUACCGUGAGGCGUCCUGUUAAGUCAGGCAACGAGCGAGACCCGCACUCCUAAUUGCCAGCAACACCCUUGUGGUGGUUGGGUACAUUAGGAGGACUGCCAGUGCCAAACUGGAGGAAGGAACGGGCAACGGUAGGUCAGUAUGCCCCGAAUGUGCUGGGCGACACGCGGGCUACAAUGGCCAAGACAGUGGGACGCAACCCCGAAAGGGGACGCUAAUCUCCGAAACUUGGUCGUAGUUCGGAUUGAGGGCUGAAACUCGCCCUCAUGAAGCUGGAUUCGGUAGUAAUCGCGCCUCAGAAGGGCGCGGUGAAUACGUCCCUGCUCCUUGCACACACCGCCCGUCAAAGCACCCGAGUGAGGUCCGGAUGAGGCCCUGAUUACAGGGUCGAAUCUG